AACGAACGCUGGCGGCAUGCCUAACACAUGCAAGUCGAACGAGACCUUCGGGUCUAGUGGCGCACGGGUGCGUAACGCGGGGUAACCUGCCCUUAGGUUCGGAAUAACUCCCCGAAAGGGGUGCUAAUACCGGAUAAUGUCUUCGGACCAAAGAGUUAUCGCCUUUGGAUGGGCCCUCGUUGGAUUAGCUAGUUGGUAGGGUAAAAGCCUACCAAGGCGACGAUCCAUAGCUGGUCUGAGAGGAUGAUCAGCCACACUGGGACUGAGACACGGCCCAGACUCCUACGGGAGGCAGCAGUGGGGAAUAUUGGACAAUGGGCGAAAGCCUGAUACAGCAAUGCCGCGUGAGUGAUGAAGGCCUUAGGGUUGUAAAGCUCUUUUACCCGGGAUGAUAAUGACAGUAACGGGAGAAUAAGCUCCGGCUAACUCCGUG
This 433-nucleotide ribosomal RNA is filed under the name uncultured bacterium. RNAcentral's name for it is "partial 16S ribosomal RNA". It matches the Rfam family "Bacterial small subunit ribosomal RNA", at positions 29 to 507 of the family's 1533-position model. The record is from RNAcentral.